UAUUCCAAAGUCUAAUGAUCCUGAUAUGCGCUGGAACAAAGGAACCAUUCUAAAAGCAUCAGUGGAGUACAUCAAGUGGCUACAAAAAGAACAACAGAGAGCCCGAGAAUUGGAACACAGACAGAAGAAAUUAGAGCAGGCUAACAGGCGACUUCUACUUCGGAUUCAGGAAUGUGUUGUUCAUGAAAAACUGAUAGAAGCAACAGAAGAAUUCGCAGGAAGAAAAAUCAUAGUGUUAAUGAAUUAUUGAGGGCGAAAAAAAGGUGUUUUCUUCUUUGACUACGGAGUCCAAAUCCACUUAAAUUCUGUUUUCCUGAAAAGAGGUACAGCAUAAGAAAUAGCUCUUUAUUGAUGUUUUAAAAGCAGCAACUUGGUGGUGUACUACUGGAACUAAUGACUGCAAAGUGUUAAACGACUGAAAUAUACAAACAGUCUCUUAGUUACUCAUUUCCAUCUUCUCUUCAACUUUCACAUCAGUCUUCCGGAAUCAAGAUCAACAUAUCAGGUGGUCAUUGCCUUUCUCCAUUGUCUAGUAGACAUGUCUAAAGUUCAAACUUUAUAGGAUAAAUAAAUGUAUAAUAGAUUAUCUGUCACUUGUGGUUGAAAGGCAAAUCUACAAUAAAUGUGAGAAUUUUCCACAAUAAAAUAUGGAUAACUUAUAAAAA
Molecule: long non-coding RNA, 665 nt
Filed under: Homo sapiens (human)
Lineage: Eukaryota; Metazoa; Chordata; Mammalia; Primates; Hominidae
Description: non-protein coding lnc-WNT2-10:1
Source: RNAcentral